Molecule: long non-coding RNA, 668 nt
Organism: Gorilla gorilla gorilla (western lowland gorilla)
Lineage: Eukaryota; Metazoa; Chordata; Mammalia; Primates; Hominidae
Exons: 3
Source: RefSeq, a predicted model, not a curated record
AUUCAAGCAAAGCCUUUGUGUGGACAAACCAUUUCAGACAAAUCCAGUGGGAGGCAGUAAGUGGAAUGGAAAAAAAAAACAAAAAAAAUGGAUUCAAAGCUCAGAUCCACCACUUAUUGACUAAAACUCUAAGCAAGUCGAUGUCCCUGAGGUUCAGGAUCCUUGAUAUGCCACCAUUUUCAGUCUCUGAACAGCCUAAAAUCUAAUUUUUGCCAGCUGAUCAAAUGGACUGUGAGGAGAAAAUCCAUAAGUAAGACCUAGAUGUCAGACUAAUAAACCUGCAGAGAAUUGUGUUUAAAUUCCAUUGAGAUGAUACAAGUUUGCUAACUGGAAUCCACGUAUAAUGACAGCAUAUUUUUCAUCACUAAAAUUCCAUUGUCAUUAACUCAUUAUCUGAAAGAUUAGCCCAUGAUCACUUCAGAUGAAAACUAACUGAAAAUAAUGCCAUAAGUACUAGAAGUUAAUUUAUGGACUCGCCUGAAAUGUAGAUGCUCAAUCUGAGUCCUCUGACAGCCUCACUAUUUUAAAAGCAAGUUGGAUCCAGCGCUCUUGAAGAUGGAGAGGCAGCCGAGAACCACCUUCCCUAAUUGCCUGAUGAAGACUCCUCUUGAGUUGAGACACCAGCUUACUGGUUAUUGUGUCUAAUGAGUAAAUUUGCAAGCCUCCCA